This 253-nucleotide ribosomal RNA is filed under the name uncultured bacterium. RNAcentral describes it as "partial 16S ribosomal RNA". It matches the Rfam family "Bacterial small subunit ribosomal RNA", at positions 524 to 776 of the family's 1533-position model. The record is from RNAcentral.
GACGUAGGGCGCGAGCGUUGUCCGGAUUUAUUGGGCGUAAAGAGCUCGUAGGCGGCUUGUCGCGUCGGCUGUGAAAACCUGAGGCUCAACCUCAGGCCUGCAGUCGAUACGGGCGGACUUGAGUACUGCAGGGGAGACUGGAAUUCCUGGUGUAGCGGUGAAAUGCGCAGAUAUCAGGAGGAACACCGGUGGCGAAGGCGGGUCUCUGGGCAGUAACUGACGCUGAGGAGCGAAAGCGUGGGGAGCGAACAGG